GCCCGGUAUUCGUCGCAGGAGGUGGAGCAGGUUCGUGGCCGUUAUUGUGGUCUGCCAGGGGGUAGUGGAGCUGUGUGGAAUUUGCCACAGGAAGUGGAGCAGGGCGGCGAUGGUUACUGCGGCCUGUCAGGGAAUGAUGGAGCUACGCGAAAUCUGCCGCAGGAAGUGGAGCAGGGUCGUGGCCAUUUUGGUGGCCUGCCAGGGGGCACGGAUCUGUUGAUCGAAGCUCGGCAGUGGUCGGAGCCCGACCUCUAUAGAGGUCCGGGAGAGGUCCUCCUGGCGGCUGGGGUCGUGGGUGGAGUCUGACUUCCGUGGGAGUCCGGGCAGAACCCUCUCGGAGCUGAAGUUGCGGGCGGAACCCGGCUCUCGUAGGAGUCCGGGCGGAGCUGUGCUGCAGUANN
RNAcentral lists this long non-coding RNA (401 nucleotides) under Elaeis guineensis (African oil palm). RNAcentral describes it as "long non-coding RNA (EGUI_LNC020217)". The record is from RNAcentral. Lineage: Eukaryota; Viridiplantae; Streptophyta; Magnoliopsida; Arecales; Arecaceae.